GACGAACGCUGGCGGCGUGCCUAAUACAUGCAAGUUGAGCGCUGAAGGUUGGUACUUGUACCAACUGGAUGAGCAGCGAACGGGUGAGUAACGCGUGGGGAAUCUGCCUUUGAGCGGGGGACAACAUUUGGAAACGAAUGCUAAUACCGCAUAAAAACUUUAAACACAAGUUUUAAGUUUGAAAGAUGCAAUUGCAUCGCUCAAAGAUGAUCCCGCGUUGUAUUAGCUAGUUGGUGAGGUAAAGGCUCACCAAGGCGAUGAUACAUAGCCGACCUGAGAGGGGGAUCGGCCACAUUGGGACUGAGACACGGCCCAAACUCCUACGGGAGGCAGCAGUAGGGAAGCUUCGGCAAUGGACGAAAGUCUGACCGAGCAACGCCGCGUGAGUGAAGAAGGUUUUCGGAUCGUAAAACUCGGUUGGUAGAGAAGAACGUUGGUGAGAGUGGAAAGCUCAUCAAGUGACGGUAACUACACAGAAAGGGACGGCUAACUACGUG
This 497-nucleotide ribosomal RNA is filed under the name uncultured bacterium. RNAcentral's name for it is "partial 16S ribosomal RNA". It matches the Rfam family "Bacterial small subunit ribosomal RNA", at positions 28 to 507 of the family's 1533-position model. The record is from RNAcentral.